This 117-nucleotide ribosomal RNA is filed under the name Danio rerio (zebrafish). Lineage: Eukaryota; Metazoa; Chordata; Actinopteri; Cypriniformes; Danionidae. The record is from RNAcentral.
AGCCACAGCCAUAUCACCCUCCAGCCCAAGACUGGUUACUUAGUGAAGGUAAGCAGAGCUGAGCCUGGUCAGUGCCUGUAUGGGAGACCACAUGAGAAAACUCGAUUGCUGUUGGAA